GGGGGGGGGAGCGAGCGUUGUCGGAAUUACUGGGCGUAAAGGGCGCGUAGGGCGGCUGGGGUCAGUCGCGUGUGAAAGGGCCGGGGCUCAACCCCGAGCAUUGCACGUGAUACUGCCCCGGCUCGAGAGAGGUAGGGGCGAGUGGAAUUCCCGGUGUAGCGGUGGAAUGCGUAGAUAUCGGGAAGAACACCUGUGGCGAAGGCGGCUCGCUGGACCUUUUCUGACGCUGAAGCGCGAAAGCGUGGGGAGCAAACAGGAUUAGAUACCCUGGUAGUCCACGCCGUAAACGAUGGGUACUAGGUGUUGGGAGGAUUGACCCUUUCAGUGCCGGCGCUAACGCAUUAAGUACCCCGCCUGGGGAGUACGGUCGCAAGGCUG
This 378-nucleotide ribosomal RNA is filed under the name uncultured organism. RNAcentral describes it as "partial 16S ribosomal RNA". It matches the Rfam family "Bacterial small subunit ribosomal RNA", at positions 524 to 896 of the family's 1533-position model. The record is from RNAcentral.